RNAcentral lists this ribosomal RNA (460 nucleotides) under uncultured bacterium. RNAcentral describes it as "partial 16S ribosomal RNA". It matches the Rfam family "Bacterial small subunit ribosomal RNA", at positions 338 to 795 of the family's 1533-position model. The record is from RNAcentral.
CCUACGGGAGGCAGCAGUGAGGAAUAUUGGUCAAUGGCCGUAAGGCUGAACCAGCCAAGUCGCGUGAAGGAAGAAGGCUCUAUGGUUUGUACACCUCUUUUGUCGGGGACUAAAGGUAUCCACGUGUGGCUAUUUGCAUGUACCCUAUGAAUAAGCAUCGGCUAACUCCGUGCCAGCAGCCGCGGUAAUACGGAGGAUGCGAGCGUUAUCCGGAUUUAUUGGGUUUAAAGGGUGCGUAGGUAGUUGUUUAAGUCAGCGGUGAAAGUUGUUGGGUCAACCAUAAAAGUGCCGUUGAAACUGGAAGACAUGAGUGUGUGUGAGGUAGGCGGAAUGCGUGGUGUAGCGGUGAAAUGCAGAGAGAUCACGCAGAACUCCGAUUGCGAAGGCAGCUUACUAAGGCAAAACUGACACUGAAGCACGAAAGCGUGGGGAUCGAACAGGAUUAGAUACCCUAGUAGUC